AUAAGGCAAAAUAUUAUCUCAAGCGGCCAUUUAUGGCAUAAAUUGUGUACAAAGCCUUUAAGGCACGUUAUUAUCGAAAUCAUUUAUGGAAAGCAGAGUCGAGACUCAUUUCAUAAUAUGUUUCAUAUUUUCUCAUGUCAUAUGCAUCGUCAGGUACAAUUACAAUUCUAGUCCUCGACACAUUGGCCAUACUCUAUUUCUCAAAGUCAUUUGACUUAUUUUAACGCCUCUAUACACAUAGGAUUUCACAUAGUUUGGCACAAUAUAUGCAGCUCUAAUUUCAAUUAAAGGUCUUAGCAUUUGAACACAUGAUUCAUAUUCCUUACACCCUUUUUAAGUCAUCAACAAUAGCACCUUGAUCAUAUUGGAAUGCAUUUUUCACAAAUAUAAGGCCGCAACAAUAAUUCAUGUAAAGUACCAAUCACAGCAAGAAUCCAAAGUUCAAUCUUACCACAUUUAUACAGUCACUUACUUCACUUCCGAACAUCUUCAUAUAUUACCAACAACUAGACACAAUCAAUCGAGUACAUUUGGUACAUAUAAUAACAAUUUGGAAGAUCAACCAUAAAGAGUUUUCUCACACAAUUUGGCAUCAAAAUCUCAAUUUAAACUUGACUUGAAGUCUACGCAUUUUAGCACAUAGUUCACAUUCUUCACAUAUCUUCAUUUACCAAGAAAACAUAUUAAGCACAUGAAGAAGUACCUCCCACAUAUAUUUUCACAACAAUAAUUCGCGUAACAUAACAAAACGAGUAUUGCAUCAAUUAUAUUUUGAACUUACAACAUUUACGCGAGCACCAUUGAAGCUUGAUUCUAAAAGGUGGGGUUUUACUUGAACUCACAACAUUUACGCGAGCACCAUUGAAGCUCAAUUUCUAAAAGGUGGGGUUUUAGCCGUGCAUACUGAUGAUAUACUACAUGAUUUGGUGGUGCAGACAUUAGUUGGAACAAGGGUACUCUCUUUAACAACAAGUUCUACCAAUCACUCCAUGGCUCAACACAUUCUUCUAACAAGCCCUUGGGUAGUCCACUCAGACUCCAUAGUGGGAUAAAUCCCUCUUUACAUGCUUCAAAUUCGCGGAUUAUGGUAUCAAAGUUACCAAUCUUGAGAAUCAUACUUAGAGAGGAAAUUAGCUCCCUAUCUUGAGCCAUAUCGCACGAUCUGGAAUGUUAAAGAAGGGUGAAAUUCCUAAAUGUCAAAAUAGCCUCCAACUUAUAGAUGUGGUCGACAACACACCGAUAAGAAGGACUCU
RNAcentral lists this long non-coding RNA (1253 nucleotides) under Nicotiana benthamiana. RNAcentral describes it as "long non-coding RNA (NBEN_LNC035391)". The record is from RNAcentral. Lineage: Eukaryota; Viridiplantae; Streptophyta; Magnoliopsida; Solanales; Solanaceae.